AAUUGGAGGGCAAGUCUGGUGCCAGCAGCCGCGGUAAUUCCAGCUCCAAUAGCGUAUAUUAAAGUUGUUGCAGUUAAAAAGCUCGUAGUUGAAUUUCGGGAUCAAUAUUUCGGUCAUGCCGUUGGUAUGCACUGUUAUCAUUGAUUUCUCACCUUCUAAAGAACCGUAAUGCCAUUAAUUUGGUGUUACGGGGAAUUAGGACUGUUACCUUGAAAAAAUUAGAGUGUUUAAAGCAGGCUCACGCUUGAAUACAUUAGCAUGGAAUAAUGAAAUAGGACAUCCGAUUCUAUUUUGUUGGUUUCUAGGAUCGAUGUAAUGAUUAAUAGGGAUAGUUGGGGGCAUUAGUAUUCAAUUGUCAGAGGUGAAAUUCUUGGAUUUAUUGAAGACUAACUACUGCGAAAGCAUUUGCCAAGGAUGUUUUCAUUAAUCAAGAACGAAAGCUAGGGGAUCGAAGACGAUCAGAUACCGUCGUAGUCUUAACCAUAAACUAUGCCGACUAGGGAUCGGAUGAUGUUAAUUUUUUAAUGACUCAUUCGGCGCCUUACGGGAAACCAAAGUGU
RNAcentral lists this ribosomal RNA (560 nucleotides) under uncultured Glomus. Its description in RNAcentral is "SSU rRNA". It matches the Rfam family "Eukaryotic small subunit ribosomal RNA", at positions 546 to 1106 of the family's 1831-position model. The record is from RNAcentral. Lineage: Eukaryota; Fungi; Glomeromycota; Glomeromycetes; Glomerales; Glomeraceae.